GUGACAGCCGCCGCGGUAAUACGUAGGGGGCAAGCGUUGUCCGGAUUUACUGGGUGUAAAGGGCGCGCAGGCGGGUUAGCAAGUCAGAGGUGAAAUCCUACAGCUUAACUGUAGAACUGCCUUUGAGACUGCUAAUCUUGAGUACGGAAGAGAGAGAUGGAAUUCCAGGUGUAGUGGUGAAAUACGUAGAUAUCUGGAAGAACACCAGUGGCGAAGGCGGUCUCUUGGUCCAUUACUGACGCUAAGGCGCGAAAGCGUGGGGAGCAAACAGGAUUAGAUACCCCCGUAGUCC
RNAcentral lists this ribosomal RNA (292 nucleotides) under uncultured bacterium. RNAcentral's name for it is "partial 16S ribosomal RNA". It matches the Rfam family "Bacterial small subunit ribosomal RNA", at positions 505 to 796 of the family's 1533-position model. The record is from RNAcentral.